UUGAAGUAUGAAAGGUAUUUGGCUAUUUGGAGGGGGUUCCCUUAUUAUUUAAGGAGUUAUUGUGUAACUUAUCUAUAUUGGAGUUGUGCUCCACAUUGACAUUUUGUACAUCGUGUGUACUUCUAUUAUUUUUAUGAUAUUAUGAGUAUUUGGAUCAUAACAUUUGGUAUCAGAGCUCAAGGUCUUGGGGUUUCGUUGCACUCGAAGAACGAAAGUUGGGGGCUCGAAGAUGAUCAGAUACCAUCCUUAUCUCAACGAUAAAAUAUCUUGACCAGGGAUCGACGAAUGUUUCUCUAGGGACUCUGCCAUCACCUUUUGAUAAAUCAAAGUGUUUGGGUUCUG
Molecule: non-coding RNA, 342 nt
Organism: Picea glauca (white spruce)
Lineage: Eukaryota; Viridiplantae; Streptophyta; Pinopsida; Pinales; Pinaceae
Source: Rfam